ACGAACGCUGGCGGCAUGCCUAACACAUGCAGGUCGAACGAGACCUUCGGGUCUAGUGGCGCACGGGUGCGUAACGCGUGGGAACCUGCCCUUAGGUUCGGAAUAACUCCCCGAAAGGGGUGCUAAUACCGGAUAAUGUCUUCGGACCAAAGAUUUAUCGCCUUUGGAUGGGUCCGCGUUGGUUUAGCUAGUUGGUAGGGUAAAAGCCUACCAAGGCGACGAUCCAUAGCUGGUCUGAGAGGAUGAUCAGCCACACUGGGACUGAGACACGGCCCAGACUCCUACGGGAGGCAGCAGUGGGGAAUAUUGGACAAUGGGCGAAGGCCUGAUCCAGCAAUGCCGCGUGAGUGAUGAAGGCCUUAGGGUUGUAAAGCUCUUUUACCCGGGAUGAUAAUGACAGUACCGGGAGAAUAAGCUCCGGCUAACUCCGCG
This 432-nucleotide ribosomal RNA is filed under the name uncultured bacterium. RNAcentral's name for it is "partial 16S ribosomal RNA". It matches the Rfam family "Bacterial small subunit ribosomal RNA", at positions 29 to 507 of the family's 1533-position model. The record is from RNAcentral.